AGUCUUUGCUAGGUAAGGACUAACCAUCCACCUAUAUCGAGUGUUGCGCCUUGAAUUGGUAACAAUUCAGGUGAAGUGUACACAUAAGUAGAGAACCAAAAACCUGAAUUUUGGUUUUUGUGUGAAUCACUUAGUAUGUUUCUUAGAGAACUUUUUAGGCCAGAGGGAAGACCGUAAUUCCUGAAGCAUAUUGAGCCCCGUUAGUAGCGGUGUCCUGGAAACAGGAGAAAUGCAGAUGAUGACGUAGUUAACGUUGCGGAAGUCAAUACGAAGGAAUCGUAAAAGGUGAGAUUCCGGAGGGUCUGUCGGGGUCAGAGAACC
RNAcentral lists this non-coding RNA (321 nucleotides) under Selenihalanaerobacter shriftii. The record is from RNAcentral. Lineage: Bacteria; Bacillati; Bacillota; Clostridia; Halanaerobiales; Halobacteroidaceae.